UAGGAGGUCAAGAGCACCCCAAGUUAUUGGAAAAACAGGCCUAUGAAGUAACUUGCCGGAAGUCACAUGACUGCUGCAAAACUGGAAUGCAGAUAACAGCAAUACUUCCCUGGGUUGCUGUGAGAAUCACAUAAGGAGGAAGAUGUGAAAGCACUUUGUAAAGUUCUAACCUAUGUUAUUAGUAUUACUCUGAGUCUCCGACUACCUACAGACAUGAGACUUUUUCUUUUGUCCUUAUCUUUUAGAAUAUAAAUGUUGAGUUCCUGUUAUGUACCAGGUGAGAUUAAUGUCUGCUGAUCUGAAGGACCACUGUUCAGCUAUGAAAAAGAAAUGUCUUUAUUCAGAAGCUACAGUGAUUCCCAUCAGAAUGAUGACUCUCUGAGAGGCUGUAUCAGAAUCUCUGGUAAAGGAGAAGCUAAGUUUU
This is a long non-coding RNA of Sus scrofa (pig), 424 nucleotides long. RefSeq lists it as uncharacterized. Lineage: Eukaryota; Metazoa; Chordata; Mammalia; Artiodactyla; Suidae. The record is from RefSeq and is a predicted model, not a curated record.